CAGCAGCCGCGGUAAUACAAAGGAUGCAAGCGUUAUCCGGAAUGAUUGGGCGUAAAGCGUCUGUAGGUGGCUUUUCAAGUCCGCCGUCAAAUCCCAGGGCUCAACCCUGGACAGGCGGUGGAAACUACCAAGCUGGAGUACGGUGGGGGCAGAGGGAAUUUCCAGUGGAGCGGUGAAAUGCGUUGAGAUCGGAAAGAACACCAACGGCGAAAGCACUCUGCUGGGCCGACACUGACACUGAGAGACGAAAGCUAGGGGAGCAAAUGGGAUUAGAUACCCGCGUAGUCCCUGUCUCUUAUAC
This 301-nucleotide ribosomal RNA is filed under the name uncultured bacterium. RNAcentral describes it as "partial 16S ribosomal RNA". It matches the Rfam family "Bacterial small subunit ribosomal RNA", at positions 509 to 807 of the family's 1533-position model. The record is from RNAcentral.